Etheostoma cragini (Arkansas darter) is the source of this 2968-nucleotide RNA transcript. RefSeq lists it as uncharacterized. The record is from RefSeq and is a predicted model, not a curated record. NCBI's taxonomy places the organism in Eukaryota, Metazoa, Chordata, Actinopteri, Perciformes, Percidae. The transcript is spliced from 13 exons.
UUCAGUCUGGGAGCCACCUGUAGCAGGCAGCGAGUGUACCACGAAGGGUACAGCGUCUCUAUCAGCACCGUUAUACUCACCGUUACACCGGCUAGACUUCUGGACACGGGACCUCAGAACCGUCCGGUUCUCCUCGGUCGAGCCGUUUUACAACCGAAGGCUUGAAAGAUGUUUUUCAGUUAUCUGCAUGUCGUGUGUCUCCUGGGCGCUGUCGUUAAAGGACUGACAACAGAUCCCUUCACACUAAAUUCAUCUUCAAUCAUCAGUACCAAUGAGACAACCUCCCAGAUUAGCACCGAGUCCAGGACCACCAGAGCAGCAGUUAUUGGGAACAGUAACUUUACCCACCCAACUGACUCUCCAUCAGGUCCAACCAGCGGUACAAAAAUGUCCACCGCAAGCGCAGAGACAACUCAUCCCACCAACACCAGUGAGACUACAAAUACAACCAUUACACCUGCUCCAGAUCGCACACUGACUACAAGUACACCGACCCCACACACCAGCAACGACACAACUACUAUUACACCGACCCCACACACCAGCAACAACACAACUACUAUUACACCGACCCCACACACCAGCAACGACACAACUACUAUUACACCGACCCCACACACCAGCAACGACACAACUACUAUUACACCGACCCCACACACCAGCAACGACACAACUACUAUUACACCGACAUCCUCCAUUAUAGCCACGACACAGUCAAGUAACAUCACAACAACUGCCGCUACCACACAAACCAGCAACGGCACAGCAAGUACAAGUACAGUAACUCCAGGAAUCUCUACAGCUGUACUAACUUCAACUACACUAACAAACUCUACUAACACCUCUACUGAGAAUCCCAAAUCCACCACCACACCCUCAUCCUCAACUAUCACCACAAAUGCAACACUCACCUCCCCUGGACACCCACCCUCUUCACCUACCUCCAUCUCUACCUCCAGCACUCUUCCCGCAAACACCUCCUCAGGAAGUAGCACCGCACCCCCCAGUGGAAAUAACACCACCCUUAGUCCCUCAACAACAACCACAGGAGUGACCCGUCACACCACUUUGACUCAAUCACCUGAACCAACUAGUGGCAAUACAACAGCGUCAACCACCACCACUCCAGUCUCCACCACCCCCACUCCCACCAUAAGUACUGGUACCAACAUCACUGGCACCACCCGACGACCAACAGACAUGACCACCAACAACUCCACUACAGCUGCCCCAACCCUCCCUCCAUUCAUAGUGUGCCCUGCCGCCUCAUGCCCACUUGAAAGCAUAUGUCUUAAUGGUACUUGCCAGUGUCUGUCUGGUAGCUUCCUGGUAAAAGGCAACUGUGUACCUGCUCAAGUGUUCCCAGGCCAGCUUCAUAUCACUUCCCUGACAUUUGAUAAUGAAAUGAGCAACAGGUCCUCAGCAAUAUUCCAACGGACUGCAGCUGAGAUCUCAGCAGCGCUCAAAGAUGCCCUCAAAAAUCAUAUGGGAUAUCAACAAUCUGAUGUUGUGCAACUUGAACCUGGGAGUGUGCAAGCAACCGUAAAUAACAUAUUUGAAAAGACCAAUGCCACUCAAGAUUCUGUUGAUCAGGCCAUUAAGCAAGCUAUAGCAGCCGCACCAGCAGGUGGAUUCUUGACUAAUGCUACAUUUACAGCUACAAACCUCUGUGAGCAGAAACAAUUAUCACCCUGUGAUAUCUCCACUACAACAUGCACAAAUACAAAUGGCCGGGCUGAUUGUUCCUGUAAAAAAGGCUACAUCUCCAAUGAUUACACCCACAAAAUCUGCACAGCGUGUGAAAGUGGGUGGAGGGCAGUGGGAAACACGUGUCAACCAUGUGCAUUCGGAUACGCUGGUUUCAACUGCAAUGAUUCCGCUCUGCUGGCAGUGGUGGUCAUCUCCUGUGUACUGGGAGGAGUUCUUCUCAUCAUUGUCCUGGCUUUGCUCAUAUUUUUUUGCUGGCGGAGAUGUUCAAAGAGCAAGGAGGACUACAACAGCAGUCCAUACUCAUCAGGUGACAUAAACCAGCCCUGGCCCACUGGCAUCACCCCUAUCCCCCGUGCCACCUCUAACAGUUAUGAAGCUCCUCCCAUAGAAAUGGCAGAAGGGGGCAACAAUCGCGUCCCGGUGGACAAAUAUCAAACCAACGGAUUGGUGAGUUAUCCCACAUUGUCUCUGUCGUCUGAAUUACCUACCACUAAUCCUCAGACUCACCGUCUUGCAUAGUGUUGAUCAUCCACCAACUCCGCCUUUAGUUUGUGCAAUGUUGCCCCACCAUCUUGCAUCUAGAUUGCAUCUGCUUAUUAACUUGAAAUCCAGCCAGUGGACAUGGAUUUGAUUGUUUACAGUUGAAAAACACAUCUAGGUCUAGGAUAAAUCUGGCUCUAGUGUUCUGGCUGUGUUAAAUUAGGUUGAAAACUGAAACUGUUGUUUCAAAAUCAUUUUAAUGACUACAUUUCAAUGUGUGUUUGGGACCUGCCAUACAUUAAAACACAGUCUUUUACAUGUCUUUUAAAGUUCCUAAAUUUGAAAGUUAGCUUAGUUUUUAACCAUAGCCACCUUGAUGUGAUUUGACCUGCAAGUCAACAAAUCCAUGCUCACUGGGCACAGGUCUUGUAUUGAUUCAGAGACAGAUUAGAUGAUUUGAUGAUGUGUUUUCAAUCCUGCACACACCAGUAUGUUUAUCCCAAUCAACCAGAAUGUAUAUUUAGUGCUAGCAUACGUCCAUCCCAAGCACCCUGCUUUGCCUGACUCCCAGUGUGUUGCUUUAGGGGUUUAAGAAGAAGCUCAAAGGAUGGAAAAAGUCUGGAUCAUACGAUCUCAACCCAGAUACAAUGCACACCUUCAAAGGUAAAAAUCCGUCCCGGUACUCCUAUCUGGUCCAAGGCCACGAGAACCCCUACUUCUUACAAGGAGAGGACAAGAGGAACUGAUGAAGUCCAGGUAGAAAUGAGGAACAUGGGAU